GACGAACGCUGGCGGCGUGCCUGAUACAUGCAAGUCGAACGAGAGCGACCGGUGCUUGCACUGGUCAAUCUAGUGGCGAACGGGUGAGUAACACGUGGGUAACCUGCCCAUCAGAGGGGGAUAACAUCCGGAAACGGAUGCUAAAACCGCAUAGGUCUUCGAGCCGCAUGGCUUGAAGAGGAAAAGAGGCGCAAGCUUCUGCUGAUGGAUGGACCCGCGGUGCAUUAGCUAGUUGGUGAGGUAACGGCUCACCAAGGCCGUGAUGCAUAGCCGACCUGAGAGGGUGAUCGGCCACAUUGGGACUGAGACACGGCCCAAACUCCUACGGGAGGCAGCAGUAGGGAAUCUUCCGCAAUGGACGCAAGUCUGACGGAGCAACGCCGCGUGAGUGAAGAAGGUUUUCGGAUCGUAAAACUCUGUUGUUAGAGAAGAACAAGUGCUAGAGUAACUGUUAGCGCCUUGACGGUAUCUAACCAGAAAGCCACGGCUAACUACGUG
This 498-nucleotide ribosomal RNA is filed under the name uncultured bacterium. RNAcentral's name for it is "partial 16S ribosomal RNA". It matches the Rfam family "Bacterial small subunit ribosomal RNA", at positions 28 to 507 of the family's 1533-position model. The record is from RNAcentral.